UUACAUUCUACUGGACCUUUAAAUCGUGG
This 29-nucleotide non-coding RNA is filed under the name Macaca fascicularis (crab-eating macaque). RNAcentral also lists the same sequence under 1 other name. Lineage: Eukaryota; Metazoa; Chordata; Mammalia; Primates; Cercopithecidae. The record is from RNAcentral.